This 252-nucleotide ribosomal RNA is filed under the name uncultured bacterium. Its description in RNAcentral is "partial 16S ribosomal RNA". It matches the Rfam family "Bacterial small subunit ribosomal RNA", at positions 524 to 776 of the family's 1533-position model. The record is from RNAcentral.
UACGUAAGGACCGAGCGUUGUCCGGAAUCAUUGGGCGUAAAGGGUACGCAGGCGGAAAUUUAAGUUAGAAGUAAAAGGCAGUAGCUUAACUAUUGUAAGCAUUUGAAACUGCAUAUCUUGAGAGGAGUAGAGGUAAGUGGAAUUUUUAGUGUAGCGGUGAAAUGCGUAGAUAUUAAAAAGAAUACCGGUGGCGAAGGCGACUUACUGGGCUCAUUCUGACGCUGAGGAACGAAAGCGUGGGUAGCAAACAGG